GACGAACCGUCCUAACGUUGUUCGGAAUCACUGGGCUUAAAGGGCGCGUAGGCGGGCCAUCAAGUCCGGGGUGAAAUACUUCGGCUUAACCGGAGAAUUGCCUUGGAUACUGGUGGUCUAGAGGGAGGUAGGGGUCUGUGGAACUUCCGGUGGAGCGGUGAAAUGCGUUGAUAUCGGAAGGAACGCCGGUGGCGAAAGCGACGGACUGGACCUCUUCUGACGCUGAGGCGCGAAAGCCAGGGGAGCAAACGGG
Molecule: ribosomal RNA, 253 nt
Filed under: uncultured bacterium
Lineage: Bacteria
Description: partial 16S ribosomal RNA
Rfam family: Bacterial small subunit ribosomal RNA
Source: RNAcentral